UCCAGCAGUUGACAAGAACGUCUGAGGAACAGUGAGGGGUGGGGUGGAGAAAUAACAUGGGGAAAUAGUUUUACUUUGUGUAAUGACCCAUCCACUCCCAGUCUCAAGGCUUGAAUUUAGAUAGUUUUAUCUAAAGAGUUCGGUUUAAAUUUUGGUUGCUCAGCAUCUCUGAAAUUAGGCUCUAGAUGUCUGAAGAGUGGCACCUAAAAUUAGAGGCCACUUUCAGAAAAUUGACUCUUAACUUCACUGGGCCAAAUCUUCAGCUCAUGUAAAUUUUCAUAGUUCUACUGCAGUCAGUGGAGCUAUGCCAAAUACACCAGAUGAGAAUCUGCCCCUGUGACUCUCAGGUCCCAAAUGUAAAAUGAGAUAAUACCUGGUUACAAUAAGCACCAUUAAAUGGUAAAUAUUUACCACGUUUAUGGUAUAAAUGCUUCUCUGCAGUAUUUGUUUUAACUUAGACGAUACAUAGUCAAUGCUGCAGUAACUGAUUAUUGUUAAUGGUGUGUGUUUUAUUUACCUCACAGAAGGGGAUGAGGAUUAACAGUAGUUAAUGUUAGUACAGUGCUUUGAAGACGUUAAGUGCUAUGUACUGCUAUUUGUCCAGUAACAUAACAUAUAUAGAAUAAGAAGUCCAAAGAAAAUCUAAAGUGUACAUAAUGUUUACAUGAUUAAAUUAAAAUGAAUGUUAAACCAUAUUUUCUUAUUGUAUGUGAAAAUACGUAAAUUAGCAAAGAUCAGUUUCACCUCUCAGCUCUCACAAAGAGGUGGUGAUAAUAUGAACAUUUGGCUGACAUGUAUUUGGGUAUCAAUGGGUGAUUGCAUGGUAGUGCCUGCUGCUUUUUGUUAAGCUUGAGUUCAGCUUCCAUUGUAGUCCUUCCUUUUCAGUUGCUCUUAUCUUUCUCAGGCAGGUUUCUUUUUUGCACUUUGUUUGAGGCCAGAUACUUUAGAACAAAAGAAGUGGAGCUGUUUAGCUACAUGAGGAUGAAAACCCCCAGCAUGAUAUCGUAAGUUAUAAUCAGAACUUCUAUAUUCAGGUAAUGAUCGAAGCUAGAAAUUUCAUACUUGGUUGUUUUGUAAAUCUUAUUAAAACUUAAAAUUCGGUAAUGGAAUGCAUAAACUAACUGCUCUGGUACAGAUAUCAGGGAUAGAAGCCCCUGGCGCUUAUGAGCUUCAGAUGAGUUGUCUUUAGUCUUUGGGGAUUAUGAUGAAAAAAAUCCAGAUAGAUAUUCAUGUUAAAUACAUGCAAACAUGGUUAUACUCCACUGCUGAAUAUCCUAGGAUUCCAAUUCCCUAUAAAUGUACUUGGAGUUCUGGUAAACUUACAUAGAAGAUUGAAGUCUGAUCCUGCAUACACUCACAAAUGCUAGUGACAUUACUCACAAGUAGCACUAUAAAAUACUACAUAAUUUUUAAAAUAAGCAGCUUAUGACUGGCAUAAAACUACCUCUCUCUUCAAAGUGUCAGCUCUCACACCAUUGCAAACACUGUUGUAUGAUAAACUUACUGCUAAGAUUUUGGAGAACUUCAGUAUACAUUUAAUUUUUAAAUAACGCUAGUCCUUAAUCAGCAAAACAUUUAGGCAUAUGCUUAAGUGCUUUGCUGAACAGGGAUAGACUGCUGAAUUGAGGCCUCAAAGAUUUAUUGAGUUGUGGCAUGGAGCUCAGUUAUUCAUGAUGAACACAAACUAAAGGUCUGAUUCCACAAACACUUACACGCAUAAUAAUCUCAUACACACAUCAUACAGCAAGUUCCUUACUCUAAUCAUUCAUCAUGAGACAACUAUUUAUUUAUUUUUCUAUGUAAAUGGGUACAUUUAGCAACAAGUUAAAAUACAGUAGCAUGUAACAUGGAAAAUAUAGU
Molecule: long non-coding RNA, 1860 nt
Organism: Dermochelys coriacea (leatherback sea turtle)
Lineage: Eukaryota; Metazoa; Chordata; Testudines; Dermochelyidae
Exons: 3
Source: RefSeq, a predicted model, not a curated record